GAGACACCCCUAUGGAGCAGUACUUGCUUCAGUGGGCCCUUGGUGCUCACUGAAUAUGCCCCUCGAGUGUGUCGCU
This is a non-coding RNA of Myotis lucifugus (little brown bat), 76 nucleotides long. NCBI's taxonomy places the organism in Eukaryota, Metazoa, Chordata, Mammalia, Chiroptera, Vespertilionidae. The record is from Rfam.